Molecule: long non-coding RNA, 333 nt
Filed under: Homo sapiens (human)
Lineage: Eukaryota; Metazoa; Chordata; Mammalia; Primates; Hominidae
Description: LHRI_LNC626.1
Source: RNAcentral
CAUGUUUUCUUGGAGGUGCACAUGCCUAAGAAUUGUAUGCACUAUUUCUCUAAAGCCCUAAGUUAUAUCUUAUAUUUAAAAAUUUAAAAAAAAUAUAACUCCACAUCUGUGCGGAAAAACUUUUGAUAAUUUGUGGCAAAAAUGCCAUGCUUAGCUUUUAAGUUGUUUUGUUCCUAGAAAGUACUCUGCCAACAUUCUUUACAAAAUGUUAAACUGCUUGUAAUGUUAUACUUUAACAAAGGAAAGGCACAAUUAGUCUACACAUUCUCCUACUUCCCUGCCCAAACACAUGCAUCCAAAGAUCAAUUUGAAAAAAUGUUCAUUUUUUUUUUU